RNAcentral lists this ribosomal RNA (89 nucleotides) under Boehmeria densiflora. Its description in RNAcentral is "partial 28S ribosomal RNA". The record is from RNAcentral. Lineage: Eukaryota; Viridiplantae; Streptophyta; Magnoliopsida; Rosales; Urticaceae.
CGUUGCUGGACCCCCAGUGAUGCGCGCCCUUCUAAGCGACCCCAGGUCAGGCGGGGAUACCCGCUGAAUUUAAGCAUAUCAAUAAGCGG